UACGUAGGUGACCAGCGUUGUCCGGAUUUACUGGGCGUAAAGAGCUCGUAGGCGGUCUGUCGCGUCGAAUGUGAAAACCCGGGGCUCAACUCCGGGCUUGCAUUCGAUACGGGCAGGCUAGAGUUCGGUAGGGGAGUCUGGAAUUCCUGGUGUAGCGGUGAAAUGCGCAGAUAUCAAGAGGAACACCGGUGGCGAAGGCGGGACUCUGGGCCGAUACUGACGCUGAGGAGCGAAAGCGUGGGGAGCGAACAGG
Molecule: ribosomal RNA, 253 nt
Filed under: uncultured bacterium
Lineage: Bacteria
Description: partial 16S ribosomal RNA
Rfam family: Bacterial small subunit ribosomal RNA
Source: RNAcentral